GUAACUCAGCAGUAGAGUACAUACCUUGCAUGUAUGAGGCCUUGGGUUCAAUCCCUGGC
This 59-nucleotide transfer RNA is filed under the name Erinaceus europaeus (western European hedgehog). It matches the Rfam family "tRNA", at positions 7 to 64 of the family's 71-position model. From Rfam's summary of the family: Transfer RNA (tRNA) molecules are approximately 80 nucleotides in length. Their secondary structure includes four short double-helical elements and three loops (D, anti-codon, and T loops). Lineage: Eukaryota; Metazoa; Chordata; Mammalia; Eulipotyphla; Erinaceidae. The record is from Rfam by way of RNAcentral.